RNAcentral lists this ribosomal RNA (252 nucleotides) under uncultured Thauera sp. Its description in RNAcentral is "partial 16S ribosomal RNA". It matches the Rfam family "Bacterial small subunit ribosomal RNA", at positions 1131 to 1382 of the family's 1533-position model. Lineage: Bacteria; Pseudomonadati; Pseudomonadota; Betaproteobacteria; Rhodocyclales; Zoogloeaceae. The record is from RNAcentral.
UUGGGCACUCUAGUGAGACUGCCGGUGACAACCGGAGGAAGGUGGGGAUGACGUCAAGUCCUCAUCGGCCCUUAGUGGUAGGGCUUCACACGUCAUACAAUGGUCGGUACAGAGGGUUGCCAAGCCGCGAGGUGGAGCCAAUCCCUUAAAGCCGAUCGUAGUCCGGAUCGUAGUCUGCAACUCGACUACGUGAAGUCGGAAUCGCUAGUAAUCGCAGAUCAGCAUGCUGCGGUGAAUACGUUCCCGGGUCUU